UAGCAGCAGGGAGGGGCUCAGCAGGGAGGGGAAGGGACAGUCCUCCCUAAGGCAUGAUGGCCUUAUCAAGCAGGUUCCCCUGCAGGAAACCGGGGGACAUGAACCACAGUCCCUCAACUCCUGGGCCACCCUUGCUGGGAAGUUAGACCACGACCCUUGGAUGCACAGGUCCAACCUCGAGGGACAACAAGGCCACAGAAUUCUUUGAAAUCAAUAAUUUUGAGCGUCAGGAUAAAAUCUCAGCAGCCCUGACAGCGAAACAUCUUCUCAGCCACCCGGGACUUUCGGGCAAGUUCUUCCAGCAGCAUCUGUUUCCCAGGAGGAGGUUGGAAGGGGAAAGGAGAAGAGGGCUGGGGAGAAGCAGGGCAGGGACCCCCCCAUCGCCUGGCCGUCUACUGCAAGCACUGUCCUCCCGAUAGCUGGAGGGACCCCAGGUGUCCCUGACUGGUGGGAGAGAGGACAGAAAUCCAGGGAGAGGGGAGGAGAGCGGGAGAGAAAGCUGUGAGAAGCUCAAAGACUUUGGCUUCACGGUGGCCUCACCUUUGUCUUUCAAUUCCUUCUGUCAUUUGGAGGCCUCUUGUCACUGGAGGAACAGGCAAUAGGUCCUGGAACUCAGCUCAGCAGCUGCCACAGCCCCUGGGCAGGGGUUCCAGAGCCCGAGGCCCAGCCCAGCACUUCUCUGCUGGGCCCACUGGCUGAUGAAGCCCAAGGUCCCUCCAACCUGCAGGCCCUUGUCUACCGGGCAGAAGAAGAAAUCCGUGGACCUGCCUGGGCAGCCCAGUCCCCUGGGAAACUUUUCUGGACAAUGUGCCCUUUGCCUUGGUCUCUUUCCUGACUCACCCUUGGGUUCUGACGGUAUCUUUUGAUUCACUAGUUGUGUCACUUUUUGUGAGUCAUCUGACAGGUUUGGCUAAGGGUGAGGGAGACCCUCCCAAAUAUGGACCUUGAGACAAGGUUCUGGAGGAUAUGUGUAAUGUAAUAGGUGUAGGGAAGGAAGGCAACCAAUAAGAGUGUGUCCUUCAAUGUCAGGGACCAAUUAGGAAAUAGGGAGACCAUGGUGGAUGGUGUAAAGCACAGGCCCCAGAGUGGUAUCAGCCGAGGGGCGAGGGAGCUGGGGUAGUUAUACAACCCCAUUCCCUGGUGCUUCUAACGUGGCAAAGUAGCCUUGGGGAUCAAGUCCUCAGGCCUGGAUGCAGACACUGGUGGCAGCUACAAGGACACAGGAAUACACUAACUGGUUCAGCCCAAAGGAAAGGGGUGUGGGCCUAGAAGGAUUCCACCUCUCAUGACAGCAGCCGUCUUCGGUCAUAACCACCAUGUUUGCCCAGAGGAGCCUUAGCUGGUUCCUGCAGCCUGGUUUCCCAGAAAACCAUAAGUGGACAAAACAUUAGAGGGUAUGCAGGGCUCUACAACCAACCCUGGCUCAGGGAAGCGCCCGAUUCCUUGAUGUUAGCUUGGAGUAAACCAGGUAUGUUCUAGCCAGGGUGAAAUCUAUUCUAUUCUAACCUCUUUCUGACCCAAAUUGCAGGAAUUCAACUGAGUCCCCAGUAAAUGGCACUCUGCGACCCUGGAUCUUGAAUCUUCAUUCUCAUGGCACCUUGGACCCUGGUCGUCACCUCCUGGGACCAAGUUUUUCUGGAACAGAGGAGCACAAUGACAGUCUUCGUACACUUUUUUUUUUAAUCAUGAAAGUAAUAAAUGCAUACAAUAAAAGUUGAGGCACCUAAAAAUGUAUAAUGACAAGUAUGUAUGUCCCCCGCCUUCAUCCCAGCCCCCAGUCCUGACCUGCCAUAGGCAGCCAUCUUGA
Molecule: long non-coding RNA, 1807 nt
Filed under: Marmota monax (woodchuck)
Lineage: Eukaryota; Metazoa; Chordata; Mammalia; Rodentia; Sciuridae
Source: RNAcentral